Molecule: ribosomal RNA, 483 nt
Filed under: uncultured bacterium
Lineage: Bacteria
Description: bacterial SSU rRNA
Rfam family: Bacterial small subunit ribosomal RNA
Source: RNAcentral
CAGCAGUGGGGAAUUUUGGACAAUGGCGCAAGCCUAUCCAGCAAUGCCGCGUGAGUGAAGAAGGCCUUCGGGUUGUAAAGCUCUUUUGUCAGGGAAGAAACGGCUCGAUCUAAUAUCGUGGGUUAAUGACGGUACCUGAAGAAUAAGCACCGGCUAACUACGUGCCAGCAGCCGCGGUAAUACGUAGGGUGCAAGCGUUAAUCGGAAUUACUGGGCGUAAAGCGUGCGCAGGCGGUUUUGUAAGUCUGAUGUGAAAUCCCCGGGCUCAACCUGGGAAUUGCAUUGGAGACUGCAAGGCUAGAAUUUGGCAGAGGGGGGUAGAAUUCCACGUGUAGCAGUGAAAUGCGUAGAGAUGUGGAGGAACACCGAUGGCGAAGGCAGCCCCCUGGGUCAAGAUUGACGCUCAUGCACGAAAGCGUGGGGAGCAAACAGGAUUAGAUACCCUGGUAGUCCACGCCCUAAACGAUGUCUACUAGUUGUCGG